RNAcentral lists this ribosomal RNA (878 nucleotides) under uncultured bacterium. RNAcentral's name for it is "bacterial SSU rRNA". It matches the Rfam family "Bacterial small subunit ribosomal RNA". The record is from RNAcentral.
GACGAACGCUGGCGGCGUGCCUAAUACAUGCAAGUCGAGCGAAGUUUUUCUGGUGCUUGCACUAGAAAAACUUAGCGGCGAACGGGUGAGUAACACGUAAAGAACCUGCCUCAUAGACUGGGACAACUAUUGGAAACGAUAGCUAAUACCGGAUAACAGCAUUAACUGCAUGGUUGAUGUUUAAAAGUUGGUUUUGCUAACACUAUGAGAUGGCUUUGCGGUGCAUUAGCUAGUUGGUGGGGUAAAGGCCUACCAAGGCGACGAUGCAUAGCCGACCUGAGAGGGUGAUCGGCCACACUGGGACUGAGACACGGCCCAGACUCCUACGGGAGGCAGCAGUAGGGAAUCUUCCGCAAUGGGCGAAAGCCUGACGGAGCAACGCCGCGUGAGUGAAGAAGGAUUUCGGUUCGUAAAGCUCUGUUGUUAGGGAAGAAUGAUUGAGUAGUAACUAUACACAGUAGAGACGGUACCUAACCAGAAAGCCACGGCUAACUACGUGCCAGCAGCCGCGGUAAUACGUAGGUGGCAAGCGUUGUCCGGAAUUAUUGGGCGUAAAGCGCGCGCAGGUGGUUUAAUAAGUCUGAUGUGAAAGCCCACGGCUCAACCGUGGAGGGUCAUUGGAAACUGUUAAACUUGAGUGCAUGAGAGAAAAGUGGAAUUCCUAGUGUAGCGGUGAAAUGCGUAGAGAUUAGGAGGAACACCAGUGGCGAAUGCGGUGUUUUUGGGCCUGUAACUGACACUGAGGCGCGAAAGCGUGGGGAGCAAACGGAUUUGAUUCCCUGGUGUCCAUGGGCGAAUCCACUGUGGAUAUCAUGCUUUGCGAUGCGAAGGUGGGGGGGGUGGCAGAGUGAUCUGCUCUGUGCCCGUAAAUGGUAUUA